GGCAAUGUGGCUGAGUGGUUUGAGGCGCUGAUCUUGAAAUCCAGAAUUUCUGGGUUCAAGUCCUCCAUCCUGCCA
Molecule: non-coding RNA, 75 nt
Organism: Desmophyllum pertusum
Lineage: Eukaryota; Metazoa; Cnidaria; Anthozoa; Scleractinia; Caryophylliidae
Source: the annotation of a GenBank genome assembly